AGAGUUUGAUUAUGGCUCAGGAUGAACGCUGGCGGCGUGCUUAACACAUGCAAGUCGAACGCUGAAGCCCCAGCUUGCUGGGGUGGAUGAGUGGCGAACGGGUGAGUAACACGUGAGUAACCUUCCCUUGACUCUGGGAUAAGCCCGGGAAACUGGGUCUAAUACCGGAUACGACCUCCUGCCGCAUGGUGUGGGGGUGGAAAGAUUUAUCGGUUUUGGAUGGACUCGCGGCCUAUCAGCUUGUUGGUGAGGUAAUGGCUCACCAAGGCGACGACGGGUAGCCGGCCUGAGAGGGUGACCGGCCACACUGGGACUGAGACACGGCCCAGACUCCUACGGGAGGCAGCAGUGGGGAAUAUUGCACAAUGGGCGCAAGCCUGAUGCAGCGACGCCGCGUGAGGGAUGACGGCCUUCGGGUUGUAAACCUCUUUCAGUAGGGAAGAAGCGAAAGUGACGGUACCUGCAGAAGAAGCGCCGGCUAACUACGUGCCAGCAGCCGCGGUAAUACGUAGGGCGCGAGCGUUAUCCGGAAUUAUUGGGCGUAAAGAGCUCGUAGGCGGUUUGUCGCGUCUGCCGUGAAAGUCCGGGGCUUAACCCCGGAUCUGCGGUGGGUACGGGCAGACUAGAGUGCAGUAGGGGAGACUGGAAUUCCUGGUGUAGCGGUGAAAUGCGCAGAUAUCAGGAGGAACACCGAUGGCGAAGGCAGGUCUCUGGGCUGUUACUGACGCUGAGGAGCGAAAGCAUGGGGAGCGAACAGGAUUAGAUACCCUGGUAGUCCAUGCCGUAAACGUUGGGCACUAGGUGUGGGGGACAUUCCACGUUCUCCGCGCCGCAGCUAACGCAUUAAGUGCCCCGCCUGGGGAGUAC
RNAcentral lists this ribosomal RNA (867 nucleotides) under uncultured bacterium. Its description in RNAcentral is "bacterial SSU rRNA". It matches the Rfam family "Bacterial small subunit ribosomal RNA", at positions 8 to 883 of the family's 1533-position model. The record is from RNAcentral.